UCAAGUAAGUAAGGGCGUACGGCGGAUGCCUUGGCCAUAUCAGCCGAAGAAGGACGCGAUAAGCUGCGAUAAGCUGCGGUGAGGUGCAAGUAACCUUUGACCCGCAGAUCUCCGAAUGGGGAAACCCGGCAGCAGUAGUGCUGUCAUCCUCUAUGAGGAAGGGCACCCGGUGAACUGAAACAUCUAAGUAGCCGGAGGAAAAGGAAUCAACAGAGAUACCCCUAGUAGCGGCGAGCGAACGGGGCAGAGCCCAAACCGGAAUGGGAAACCAAUCCGGGGUUGUGGACUGCUAUCAAAUGCAUGAGUGAAGCAGAAUGAGCUGGGAAGCUCAGCCAGAGAGAGUGAGAGCCUCGUAGGCGUAAGCAAGUGCAUGGAGCAGGAUCCAGAGUACCACGGGACACGAGAAACCCUGUGGGAAGCUGGGGGGACCACCCUCCAAGGCGAAACACUGAUAUGGACCGAUAGCGCAUAGUACCGUGAGGGAAAGGUGAAAAGAACCCCGGGAGGGGAAUGAAAGAGAACCUGAAACCGUAUGUCUACAAGCAGUCGAAGACCUUUAUAUGGUCGACGGCGUGCCUAUUGAAGAAUGAACCGGCGAGUUACUUCAGCUAGCGAGGUUAAGCGGAAAACGUGGAGCCGAAGCGAAAGCGAGUCUGAACAGGGCGUAUAGUUAGUUGGAGUAGACCCGAAACCACAGUGAUCUACCCAUGUCCAGGUUGAAGCACAGGUAAAAAUGUGUGGAGGACCGAACCAGUGAGCGUUGAAAAGCUUUUGGAUGAGAUGUGGGUAGGGGUGAAAUGCCAAUCGAACGUGGAGAUAGCUGGUUCUCCCCGAAAUAGCUUUAGGGCUAGCCUCAUGGCGAGAGUACAGGCGGUAGAGCACUGAACGGGGUAGGGGCCUAUCCGGCUACUGAACCUAAUCAAACUGCGAAUGGCUGUACUUAUCCAUGGGAGUCAGACUGUGAGUAAUAAGGCCCAUAGUCAAGAGGGAAACAGCCCAGACCAACAGCUAAGGUCCCCAAUGCCGUACUAAGUGGCGAAGGAUGUGGAAUUUCGAAAACAACCAGGAUGUUGGCUCAGAAGCAGCCACCAUUAAAAGAGUGCGUAAUAGCUCACUGGUCGAGAGACUCUGCGCCGAAGAUGUCCGGGGCUAAAGUACGGAACCGAAGCUUUGGCAAUUGACAUUAGUCAAUUGGGUAGGGGAGCGUUCCUGCAUGGGAGAAGCCUGACCGGAAGGACAGGUGGACAGGCAGGAAGAGAGAAUGCCGGUAUGAGUAGCGAAAAGAAGGGUGAGAAUCCCUUCCACCGAAAGCCUAAGGGUUCCUGGGCAACGAUCGUCGUCCCAGGGUAAGUCGGGACCUAAUCCGAGGCGGAGACGCGUAGGAGAUGGACAACAGGUUGAAAUUCCUGUACUGGCUGAGGCCGUUUGAGCGAAGGAGUGACACAGGAAGGAAGGCGCGCGUGCGAUUGGAAGAGCACGUCCAAGCAGGUAGGUUGGGAGACAGGCAAAUCCGUUUCCCGUGAGGCCGAGAUGCGAUGGGGAGCUUCUGGAGACAGAAGCGAAGGGGCUGGCACUAAACUGUCGAGAAAAGCUUCUAGUGAGGACUCAGGCACCCGUACCGAAACCGACACAGGUAGGCAGGAUGAGAAUUCUAAGGUGCGCGGGAAAACCCUCGUUAAGGAACUCGGCAAAAUAUAUCCGUAACUUCGGGAAAAGGAUAACCCAGCGUACGUGAAGUGCAGAAACGCACGGAGCGGAGAUGGGUGGCAGAAGAGAGGCCCAAGCGACUGUUUACCACAAACACAGGCGUCUGCUAAAGCGAAAGCUGAUGUAUAGAUGCUGACACCUGCCCGGUGCUGGAAGGUUAAGAGGAAGUGUUAGCGCAAGCGAAGCAGUGAAUUGAAGCCCCAGUAAACGGCGGCCGUAACUAUAACGGUCCUAAGGUAGCGAAAUUCCUUGUCGGGUAAGUUCC
Molecule: ribosomal RNA, 1972 nt
Filed under: human gut metagenome
Description: bacterial LSU rRNA
Rfam family: Bacterial large subunit ribosomal RNA
Source: RNAcentral